CGGGUGAGUAACACGUGGGAAAUCUGCCCUGAACUCUGGGACAAGCCUUGGAAACGAGGUCUAAUACCGGAUAUUACCGUGGAGCGCAUGCUCUGUGGUGGAAAGCUCCGGCGGUUCAGGAUGAUCCCGCGGCCUAUCAGCUUGUUGGUGGGGUAAUGGCCUACCAAGGCGACGACGGGUAGCCGGCCUGAGAGGGCGACCGGCCACACUGGGACUGAGACACGGCCCAG
RNAcentral lists this ribosomal RNA (230 nucleotides) under uncultured bacterium. RNAcentral's name for it is "partial 16S ribosomal RNA". It matches the Rfam family "Bacterial small subunit ribosomal RNA", at positions 103 to 334 of the family's 1533-position model. The record is from RNAcentral.